AUUCCAGCUCUAAUAGCGUAUAUUAAUGUUGUUGCAGUUAAAAAGCUCGUAGUUGGAUUUUGGUGUUUGACAAACGGUCGGCCUUACGGUUUGUACUGUUUGUUGGCACUUCUUUUCUGGGGAACUCACUGUUCUUAAUUGAAGGGUGUUGUAACGCAGAUCGUUUACUUUGAAAAAAUUAGAGUGUUCAAAGCAGGCCAACGCAUUGAAUACAUUAGCAUGGAAUAAUGGAAUAGGACUUUGGUCUUAUUUUGUUGGUUUCUAAGGCCGAGGUAAUGAUUAAUAGGGAUAGUUGGGGGCGUUUAUAUUCCGUUGUCAGAGGUGAAAUUCUUGGAUUUACGGAAGAUAAACUACUGCGAAAGCAUUCGCCAAGGAUGUUUUCAUCA
Molecule: ribosomal RNA, 386 nt
Filed under: Katablepharidaceae sp.
Lineage: Eukaryota; Cryptophyceae; Kathablepharidacea; Katablepharidaceae
Description: partial small subunit ribosomal RNA
Rfam family: Eukaryotic small subunit ribosomal RNA
Source: RNAcentral